RNAcentral lists this ribosomal RNA (448 nucleotides) under uncultured bacterium. RNAcentral's name for it is "bacterial SSU rRNA". It matches the Rfam family "Bacterial small subunit ribosomal RNA", at positions 328 to 793 of the family's 1533-position model. The record is from RNAcentral.
GUCCCAGACUCCUACGGGAGGCAGCAGUGGGGAAUAUUGCACAAUGGGGGAAACCCUGAUGCAGCGACGCCGCGUGAGUGAAGAAGUAAUUCGUUAUGUAAAUCUCUAUCAGCAGGGAAGAAAAUGACGGUACCUGAGUAAGAAGCCCCGGCUAACUACGUGCCAGCAGCCGCGGUAAUACGUAGGGGGCAAGCGUUAUCCGGAUUUACUGGGUGUAAAGGGAGCGUAGACGGCAAUGCAAGCCAGGAGUGAAAGCCCGGGGCCCAACCCCGGGACUGCUCUUGGAACUGCAUGGCUGGAGUACAGGAGGGGCAGGCGGAAUUCCUAGUGUAGCGGUGAAAUGCGUAGAUAUUAGGAGGAACACCGGUGGCGAAGGCGGCCUGCUGGACUGUGACUGACGUUGAGGCCCGAAGGCGUGGGGAGCAAACAGGAUUAGAUACCCGCGUAA